CCUACGGGAGGCAGCAGUGGGGAAUAUUGCACAAUGGGGGAAACCCUGAUGCAGCGACGCCGCGUGAGUGAAGAAGUAUCUCGGUACGUAAAGCUCUAUCAGCAGGGAAGAAAAUGACGGUACCUGACUAAGAAGCCCCGGCUAACUACGUGCCAGCAGCCGCGGUAAUACGUAGGGGGCAAGCGUUAUCCGGAUUUACUGGGUGUAAAGGGAGCGUAGACGGCAGCACAAGUCUGGAGUGAAAUCCCGGGGCCUAACCCCGGAACUGCUUUGGAAACUGUGCGGCUGGAGUGCAGGAGGGGUAAGCGGAAUUGCUAGGGUAGCGGUGAAAUGCGUAGAGAAUAGGAGGAACACCGGUGGCGAAGGCGGCUUACUGGACUGUAACUGACGUGGAGGCUCGAAAGCGUGGGGAGCAAACAGGAUUAGAUACCCCUGUAGUC
This 440-nucleotide ribosomal RNA is filed under the name uncultured bacterium. Its description in RNAcentral is "partial 16S ribosomal RNA". It matches the Rfam family "Bacterial small subunit ribosomal RNA", at positions 338 to 795 of the family's 1533-position model. The record is from RNAcentral.